Molecule: ribosomal RNA, 519 nt
Filed under: uncultured bacterium
Lineage: Bacteria
Description: bacterial SSU rRNA
Rfam family: Bacterial small subunit ribosomal RNA
Source: RNAcentral
AGAGUUGAUUCUGGCUCAGGAUGAACGCUAGCUACAGGCUUAACACAUGACAAGUCGGAGGGGUAGCGAGGGUAGCAAUACCGCUGACGACCGGCGCACGGGUGAGUAACACGUAUCCAACCUUCCCAUAACUCAGGGAUAGCCUUUCGAAAGAAAGAUUAAUACCUGAUAGUACUUUUUCAAGGCAUCUUGAGAAAGUUAAAGAUUUAUUGGUUAUGGAUGGGGAUGCGUUCCAUUAGAUAGUUGGUGAGGUAACGGCUCACCAAGUCUUCGAUGGAUAGGGGUUCUGAGAGGAACGGUCCCCCACAUUGGUACUGAGACACGGACCAAACUCCUACGGGAGGCAGCAGUGAGGAAUAUUGGUCAAUGGGCGAGAGCCUGAACCAGCCAAGUAGCGUGAAGGAUGGAAACGGUCCUAUGGAUUGUAAACUUCUUUUAUAGUAGAAUAAAGUGAUCCACGUGUGGAUUUUUGUAUGUAUACUAUGAAUAAGGAUCGGCUAACUCCGUGCCAGCAGCAGC